Molecule: transfer RNA, 73 nt
Filed under: Marmota monax (woodchuck)
Lineage: Eukaryota; Metazoa; Chordata; Mammalia; Rodentia; Sciuridae
Description: tRNA.Ala
Rfam family: tRNA (bases 7-67)
About the family: Transfer RNA (tRNA) molecules are approximately 80 nucleotides in length.
Source: RNAcentral
UUGAGUUGUAGCUCAGUGGUAGAGCAUAUGUUUAGCAUACAUGAGGCCCUGGGUUCAGAGCCCAACACUAAAG